AACAACAUUUUAUAUCAGAGGAUUAUCUAACAAUGAGAACGCACCAUCAAGAAAACUCUGCAACCAUUGAUGGAUUGACGACGUUCUUACCAAAGGUCGUUGCCUAGUCAAUCAGCCGAGGCAUCUCUUCGAGUGUAUCUCUUUGAGUGUCUGGACUUAAAUCAAAUGUAUUUCAGAAAGCUAUGGGAGUUUGUGACCAUGAGCAUGCGCCAUCACGCAAGGAAGUUCAACACCAGAUUGUUUCUUUGGUUAUACUUUUACCUAGGAAGGAAAGUAUUAAAGGCGAGUAAUUAGUGGUGAAAUUGAUACUUGCAUCAUUCAUCAUCUGGAUUGUGAUGAUAUUGUUUGUGGCUGGUACCCAAGACUGUUCCGUUAUGCCAUCUAGAAAUAAAUUUUUCAUGUCAGCACUUUCCACUGAACCAAUUGAGUGAGUGUGCAAUGGUCUUCACAGACAUUUGAAAGCUGUUCUUUCUGUGGUUCAUCUUGCUGUCCCUAGUGGAUCCUCUUCCGUUCUUCAAUCACAAAGUUCACUUGCUGAUGGUAAGUCUUGACUGAACAUGUAAAACUUUUGCCUUGUUUAAUCGGAGAUGAGAAAUUUGCAUGUCUACUGGCUACCAAGAAAGGCUUGCAAGCAAACUCUUAUGUGGAGGGAAUAGGGAGCUCAGAUCUUUUUAGUUCUGAUGAUUGGAGUCCACUGACAAGAUGAUCCCCAACUCUCAGGAAGGAAAGUAUUAAAGGCGACUAAUUGGUGGUGAAAUUGAUACUUACAUCAUUCAUCAUCUGGGUUGUGAUGAUAUUGUUUGUGGCUGAUACCCAAGACUGUUCUGUUAUGCCAUCUAGAAAUAAAUUCUCCGCGUCAGCACUUUCCACUGAACCAAUUGAGUGAGUGUGCAAUGGUCUUCACAGACAUUUGAAUGCUGUUCUUUCUGUGGUUCAUCUUGCUAUCCCUAGCGGAUCCUCUUCCGCUCUUCUAUCCCCAAAGUUCACUUGGUGAUGAGGUGCUGGAAACCUAUACACCAAUUGCACAAUACAGGAGUAGUAGAAGUGAAACAAAAUUGGAAAGCAAAGCUAGGUCUUCUUUUGAGAAUUCUACUUAUGCCAGUCUCACUCUAGUAUGGUGGUCAACCUCAAAUUGCAGAAAACCAUAGUUUCUCAGCUCCAGACUCCUUUAUGUAUAAACUGAUCUCUAUCCCAAGGGCUCAUAUUCUGUUCCUUAGAGAGGAAAUUCUGAACCCAGCCAUCACUAAAAUUGACAUAAAAUUGGACAGAGUUGUGGCUAUGUCUCGUCUCAUAGCAGAAGAUUUCUGCAUUGGUUCAGCCUGUGAACCAUUAAUUAUGUGCUUAGUUCUUCUAGAUGAUUUUGUGAUCUGGAUGAAAAGCAUCCUGAUUGAUUUGCUUGACCAACCACAGGUCCAGGUUGAUUAUUUAUGCCUGUACAUCUUCUGAAUGACUUAAUAAAGUUUUGAGGUAUUUCAUGAAAGAAAUGAAAAGAAGGGUUUUUCUUGA
Rosa rugosa (rugosa rose) is the source of this 1506-nucleotide long non-coding RNA. RefSeq lists it as uncharacterized. Lineage: Eukaryota; Viridiplantae; Streptophyta; Magnoliopsida; Rosales; Rosaceae. The transcript has 7 exons. The record is from RefSeq and is a predicted model, not a curated record.